Astyanax mexicanus (Mexican tetra) is the source of this 2034-nucleotide long non-coding RNA. RefSeq lists it as uncharacterized. The record is from RefSeq and is a predicted model, not a curated record. The transcript has 4 exons. Lineage: Eukaryota; Metazoa; Chordata; Actinopteri; Characiformes; Acestrorhamphidae.
CCUUACUAAAACUAGAAAAUUUGACCAUAUUAGUCCAGUACUAUCAGCACUGCACUGGCUUCCAGUCAAAUUCCACAUAGACUAUAAAAUUCUCCUGUUAACGUAUAAAGCCCUACACUGUCUCGCUCCUGAGUAUUUGCGAGACCUAAUCUCCUAUUAUGAACCACCACGAUUACUUAGAUCUCAGGGUGCUGGUUUCUUAGUAGUUCCUAAAAUUCAGAGGAGCUCUGCAGGAGGAAGAGCUUUCUCUUAUAAAGCGCCUCAACUCUGGAAUAAUCUCCCCGAAUAUGUUCGGGACUCAGACACAGUCUCAAUCUUUAAGUCUAGACUGAAAACUUACUUGUUUAGUUUAGCUUUUGGUAAUUAAUAUUUUUUUCCUUUAGAUAAGGCUACAGAUUCAGGGGUUCAUGGACAGAGGGAAUUGUGGGUAAACUGAGAUGCUGGUGCUGUUGUUCUCCCACUGCACACGGUCACUCAGGUUUGUGGACGGUGGAGUGGGUGGAUGCCAGUGUUUACAGAUGCUACUGUUCCUUCUGGCUCUCUGCCUUUAGUUAGGCUGUUUUAUUCAGUUCUGCCGGAGUCAUUUGCCACACUCUGAUAAUGUUUUAAUAUUCUCAGUUUUGCAUAAAUCCAGUCAAAACUAAUUCCAUCUCUCUGCCUUCCUCCGAGUUACUGACUGCCCACCUGUCUGACCCGAUACCGAUGUUGGACCCUCAGGCUCUCGCGUCUCCUGUCCGGCCAGACUGAUGGAAGUUUCUGAAGUCAGCUCUUCUCCACCACCACCACAGAUCAGCUGCUCAUCGUCCAUCUUAUUCUCCACUACAGUUUACAUCCAAGCCAUUAGUGGCGCGCUAUUAUAGUCCUGAAUAUAUAAAACCUAUAUGGAUGUAUAAAAGACUUUUUAAAUUUGAAUUUAAAAGCUGUUUGACCAGUGGUAGGAUGGUCCCCCCUUAAAUGUGAGUCUUGGUCCUCCCAAGGUUUCUUCCUCCUCCUGCAGCUCUGAGGGAGUUUUUCCUUGCCUCCGCACUCACUGGGGGUUCUGUAUUCUGUAUUUUCUAUGUUUAAUGUUUUGCCUGAUUCUUUGUCCUGUAAUCAUGUUUCUGUAAAGCUGCUUUGUGCCAACACCUGUUGUAAAAAGCGCUAUACAAAUAAAUUUGAUUUGAUUUGAUUUAACCAGGAAGAAGUGACUGAACAAGACGAGUAGAUGGACGGAAGGAUCCUGCAAAUGACUUUUUUGAUUUGAUAAGGACACAACAUUGUUCGAGGUUUAACAGAAGAUGCUUCCCUGUACCAAACUCCCUUUAAUCAUAUAUACCUAGGUCUCAUCACGCCUCGACCCCUGCAGAUCCUGCUGUAUAUGGAGGACAGGGAGGAGCCAACCUCCUGAACAACUGGGUAGGAUCAUGCUGGAGACGGUGGGGAGGAUGGAGAGAAUGAAAAACCAAAACGUCCUCAGCGCCUGCAGACAGCAAAGAUUCACGACCAAGGUCACGACCAGUUCUGAUUGAGGGGGUUGAGGUGGAGGCUGUGGACUCCUACAAGUACCUUGGGCUGUGGCUGGACAGCAAGCUGGACUGGACCUGUAAUUCUGACCACCUGUACAGGAAGAGUCAGAGCAGGCUGUACUUCCUGAGGAGACUGCGGUCCUUCAACAUCUGCAAGAAACUCAUGUGGAUGUUCUAUCAGUCUGUGGUGGCCAGUGUCCUGUUCUACACCGUGGUGUGCUGGGGAUGCAGCAUAUCAAAGAAGGACUCAUCCAGGCUGGACAAACUGAUCAGGCGUGCUGGUUCUGUGGUCGGCAUGAAGCUGGACUCCUUGGUGACGGUGGCAGAGAAGAGGACUAUGGACAAACUGCUGAACGUCAUGGACGAUGCCAGUCACCCUCUGCACACCGUCAUCAGCAACCAGAAGAGCCUGUUCAGUGACAGACUGCUCCUCCCCAAAUGCAGGACCAACAGACUCCGAAACUCCUUUGUCCAAUUCCUCCCCUGGGUGAAGGAGGAGUAACAGGAGUACAGAGGAUGAGGAGGAGCA